CAAACCUCCGUAGCCUGUAUC
Molecule: microRNA, 21 nt
Filed under: Glycine max (soybean)
Lineage: Eukaryota; Viridiplantae; Streptophyta; Magnoliopsida; Fabales; Fabaceae
Description: gma-miR2107
Source: miRBase by way of RNAcentral